This 726-nucleotide ribosomal RNA is filed under the name Salmonella enterica subsp. enterica serovar Coeln. RNAcentral describes it as "partial 23S ribosomal RNA". It matches the Rfam family "Bacterial large subunit ribosomal RNA", at positions 1 to 1190 of the family's 2925-position model. Lineage: Bacteria; Pseudomonadati; Pseudomonadota; Gammaproteobacteria; Enterobacterales; Enterobacteriaceae. The record is from RNAcentral.
GUACCGCGUUGACGGAGCGAAGCGACGUCAAACCGAUAAAACAGCAGUGUAAAGUGAGCCGCAGGGCGCUUUGCGCGACAGCGCAAAGGCAGGCGGUUUCGCGUAGCGAAAGCGAAUGCUUUGGGGUGGGGUGACUGCGUACCUUUUGUAUAAUGGGUCAGCGACUUAUAUUCUGUAGCAAGGUUAACCGUAUAGGGGAGCCGUAGGGAAACCGAGUCUUAACCGGGCGUUAAGUUGCAGGGUAUAGACCCGAAACCCGGUGAUCUAGCCAUGGGCAGGUUGAAGGUUGGGUAACACUAACUGGAGGACCGAACCGACUAAUGUUGAAAAAUUAGCGGAUGACCUGUGGCUGGGGGUGAAAGGCCAAUCAAACCGGGAGAUAGCUGGUUCUCCCCGAAAGCUAUUUAGGUAGCGCCUCGUGAAUUCAUCUCCGGGGGUAGAGCACUGUUUCGGCUAGGGGGCCAUCCCGGCUUACCAACCCGAUGCAAACUGCGAAUACCGGAGAAUGUUAUCACGGGAGACACACGGCGGGUGCUAACGUCCGUCGUGAAGAGGGAAACAACCCAGACCGCCAGCUAAGGUCCCAAAGUCAUGGUUAAGUGGGAAACGAUGUGGGAAGGCCCAGACAGCCAGGAUGUUGGCUUAGAAGCAGCCAUCAUUUAAAGAAAGCGUAAUAGCUCACUGGUCGAGUCGGCCUGCGCGGAAGAUGUAACGGGGCUAAACCAU